GAUGAACGCUAGCUACAGGCUUAACACAUGCAAGUCGAGGGGAAACGACAUCGAAAGCUUGCUUUUGAUGGGCGUCGACCGGCGCACGGGUGAGUAACGCGUAUCCAACCUGCCCAUCACUUGGGAAUAACCUUGCGAAAGUAAGACUAAUACCCAAUGAUAUCCCACGAAGUCAUCGGAAUGGGAUUAAAGAUUUAUCGGUGAUGGAUGGGGAUGCGUCUGAUUAGCUUGUUGGCGGGGUAACGGCCCACCAAGGCAACGAUCAGUAGGGGUUCUGAGAGGAAGGUCCCCCACAUUGGAACUGAGACACGGUCCAAACUACUACGGGAGGCAGCAGUGAGGAAUAGUGGUCAAGGGGCGAGAGCCUGAACCAGCCAAGUAGCGUGCAGGAGGACGGCCCUAGGGGUGGUAAACUGCUUUUAUAAGGGAAUAAAGUGGGUAUCGUGAGACUUUUUGCAUGUACCUUAUGAAUAAGGACCGGCUAAUUACGUG
This 492-nucleotide ribosomal RNA is filed under the name uncultured bacterium. Its description in RNAcentral is "partial 16S ribosomal RNA". It matches the Rfam family "Bacterial small subunit ribosomal RNA", at positions 28 to 507 of the family's 1533-position model. The record is from RNAcentral.